RNAcentral lists this unclassified non-coding RNA (334 nucleotides) under soil metagenome. RNAcentral describes it as "partial contains 5.8S ribosomal RNA, internal transcribed spacer 2, and large subunit ribosomal RNA". The stretch from base 1 to 120 matches the Rfam family "5.8S ribosomal RNA", at positions 35 to 154 of the family's 154-position model. The record is from RNAcentral.
GAUGAAGAACGCAGCGAAAUGCGAUAAGUAGUGUGAAUUGCAGAAUUCAGUGAAUCAUCGAAUCUUUGAACGCACAUUGCGCCCCUUGGUAUUCCAUGGGGCAUGCCUGUUCGAGCGUCAUUUGUACCUUCAAGCUCUGCUUGGUGUUGGGUGUUUGUCCUUGCUCUAGUGGCGGGACUCGCCUUAAAGUAAUUGGCAGCCAGUGUUUUGGUUUUGAAGCGCAGCACAAGUCGCGAUUCAAGUCUAUACGCUAGUUUCCACAAGUCUUUUAUCACUUUUGACCUCGGAUCAGGUAGGGAUACCCGCUGAACUUAAGCAUAUCAAUAACGGAGGA